RNAcentral lists this ribosomal RNA (477 nucleotides) under uncultured bacterium. RNAcentral's name for it is "partial 16S ribosomal RNA". It matches the Rfam family "Bacterial small subunit ribosomal RNA", at positions 29 to 507 of the family's 1533-position model. The record is from RNAcentral.
AUGAACGCUGGCGGCGUGCUUCACACAUGCCAGUCCAACGGGAAACCUUUUAUUGAAGCUUCGGCAGAUUUAGCUGGUUUCUAGUGGCGGACGGGUGAGUAACGCGUGGGUAACCUGCCUUAUACAGGGGGAUAACAACCAGAAAUGGUUGCUAAUACCGCAUACGCGCACAGGACCGCAUGGUCCGGUGUGAAAAACUCCGGUGGUAUAAGAUGGACCCGCGUUGGAUUAGCUAGUUGGCAGGGUAACGGCCUACCAAGGCGACGAUCCAUAGCCGGCCUGAGAGGGUGAACGGCCACAUUGGGACUGAGACACGGCCCAGACUCCUACGGGAGGCAGCAGUGGGGAAUAUUGCACAAUGGGGGAAACCCUGAUGCAGCGACGCCGCGUGAAGGAAGAAGUAUCUCGGUAUGUAAACUUCUAUCAGCAGGGAAGAUAGUGACGGUACCUGACGAAGAAGCCCCGGCUAACUACGUG